This 2513-nucleotide long non-coding RNA is filed under the name Homo sapiens (human). RNAcentral describes it as "HSALNT0316984". The record is from RNAcentral. Lineage: Eukaryota; Metazoa; Chordata; Mammalia; Primates; Hominidae.
AGACCUAUAAUUCGCAAUGAAGUUUAUUACCUUCCAAUCCCUUCUAUAACUUGGCAGACAAAGAAAUCGAGGUAUUAUUUGUUGCCCUGGAAUAGACACAUAAGGCUACUUGCUACUGGAUGCGAAUAGUCCAGAACCCUGGCUGUUCUGUUCCUGCUGAUUGAUGGUUCAGGAGGCUGAAAGGAUCAAGAUCUGGGCACUCUUAGGACCCACUGGGCAAACACUACAUGGAAAGUUCUGCAGAUGCAGAAGUCAAGGCACAGGGAUGUGAACAUACGUGGGUCAUGUUUCAUAGUACCUGGACCAAGAGAAGAGGUCUCUCUAUGUUGAGAAAAUGGCAAUGCCUUCCCACAGCAUGGUACUUCUUCUCCUUCUGAGAAUGAUACUGUUACAUAAAGGUUUUCGGCGGUGCCCCAGAACACGGAGAUUUCCUUCUGCCCAGCUGCAUGAGGCACACAUAUCCUGGGAUGGCAUUAGGAAGAUGGCCACUUUCACAUCAACUUAUGUACUCUGGCACCAACCUCUCUUCUCCCUACCCAGCCCAACUUCCCACCCACUGCUAUUGGGAUGAUAUGUGCUCUUGGGUAAGGAAUGCAUAUCCAAAUGCUACCUCAGAUCAGGGAGGUAAUACCUGGCCUCAAUUCUCUGCCCUUAAAGAAUCUUGCAGCCAAAUUGGGUAAAGAGUCAAGACCCAUCGGUGUGCUUUAUUCAGGAGACCCAUCUCACGUGCAAAGACACACAUGGGCCCAAAAUAAAGGGAUGGAGUAAUAUUUACCAAGGAAAUGGAAAGCACACACACACAAAAAAAAGCAGAGGUUGCAAUCCUAGCCUCUGAUAAAACAGACUUUAAACCAACAAAGAUCAAAAAAGACAAAGAAGGGCAUUACAUACUGGUAAAGGGAUCAAUGCAACAAGAAGAGCUAACUCUCCUAAAUAUAUAUGCACCCAAUACAGGAGCACCCACAUUCAUAAAGCAAGUUCUUAGAGACCUACAAAGAGACUUAGACUCCCACACAAUAAUAGUGGGAGACUUUUAACACCUCACUGUCAAUAUUAGGCAGAUCAACAAGACAGAAAAUUAACCAGGAUAUUCAGGAUGUGAACUAAGCUCUGGACCAAGAGGACCUAAUAGACAUCUGUGGAACUCUCCACCCCAAAUCAAUAGAAUGUACAUUCUUCUCAGCACCACAUCGCACUUAUUCUAAAAUUGACCACAUAAUUGGAAAUAAAACACUCCUCAGCAAAUGCAAAAGAAUGGAAAUCAUUACAGUCUCUCAGAUCACAGUGCAAUCAAGUUAGAACUCAGGAUUAAGAAACUCAGUCAGAACCGGACAACGACAUGGAAACUGACAACCUGCUCCUGAAUGACUACUGGGUAAAUAACAAAAUUAAGGAAGAAAUAAAUAAGUUCUUUGAAACCAAUGAGAACAAAGACACAAUGUACUAGAGUCUCUGGGACACAGCUAAAGCAGUGUUUAGAGGGAAAUUUAUAGCACCAAAUGCCCACAGGAGAAAGCAGGAAAGAUCUAAAAUCGACACCGUAAUAUCACAAUUAAAAGAACUAGAGAAGCAAGAGCAAACAAAUUCAAAAGCUAGCAGAAGGCAAGAAAUGACUAAGAUCAGAGCAGAACUGAAGGAGACAGAGACACAUGGACACAGGAGAAUGAGAACACAUGGACACAGGGAGGGUAACAUCACAAACUGGGGCCUGUCAGGGGUGGGGAGUGGUGGGGAGGGAUAGCAUUAGGAGAAAGAUCUAAUGUAGAUGAAAGUUUGAUGGGUGCAGCAAACCACCAUGGCAUGUGCAUACCUAUGUAACAAACCUGCACAUUCUGCACGUGUAUCCCAGAACUUAAAGUAUAAUAUAAUAAAAGAAUCUCAUAGCCAUCAUCUGUUGUAUACAACAGACCUCAAAUUAGUCUCCCUCUGCUUCUCCAACAGUGUGGCCUCUUCUAUGAAGCUGUCUACCCAUGGGUUUCCCCAACAUCCCAUCCCCCAGCCCUCAGGUUUCUCCUCCCCAUCAUCUUCACUUCAGAAAGAGAAAUGAAAAAGAAAUUCAAGUGACUCAUCGGUCCACAUAGGCAGGAGUGGGAGAGGCUGAGAGAGUGAAUUUGUGGGUCCAGAUGAAUAUUUCCGCAGGCCUCUUGACUGCUUCACACGAUCUGCUGUGCUUCAUGAAAAAGAGGAUAUAAAAAUCUGAGUGGUGCCAUAUUGUCUCCAAAAGCAGCCAGAGUGAAAAUGAAGUGUGACUGCUGCCUCCCAAAACGCAGGGCAGCUCCUCCCUCACAUCCACAAAUGUGGUUCAGCGGGCUGCCUUGCCCUGUUUCAGGAAGCCUACGUGGAGGGCACUGUGGAGCCCCAGCCACCUUCUUCACACAGGGCUAUCUGGGGCUUCAGUGCCAGGUCCCCUGGAUACACAGCAGAGUCUGCUGGGGGCACUGACCAGGAUGCCAAUGCAGGGGUGCUUUCUCGGAGGCUCAUCCCACCAGCAGUGCCAGGUUUGACAAGCCCCA